UGAUUCUCGUCAGAUUGCACUCUAAGGGCAAUACCAAAAAGGAAACCUUUCUUUAUCCAAAACUAGCAUAUUUUUUUGUUGGUCCAAAAUUGGUAAAAAUUAAAUGCACUCAUCUCUCCUCCUCUCCAACACAUCCCACGGAAAUUUCACUCUCAAACACACUCCUCCAGCUCUUUCUUCUUCCUCACACAAAAAACACACACCCAAGAAACCCCAUUUCAAAGUUCAACUCCAUUCAAGACAAUAAACCCACACUACUACUACUUCAACUCAACCCAAUCUUCCAUUUUUUUUAAGCUCUUGUGCAAAAACGAAAAUAACAUUAUACCAUUCAACUCAAGCAAUGUCCAGCCCCAAUAACAACAUCAAACUCUGGUUCUAAAUUAUUUUCAAACAUCAAAAAUAUAGAAGAAAAGAGCCAAACUCACAACACCCACACAACACCUUAAGCUCUCUUUAACUCAAAACUCACAUAGAACCCCAUUUUCAUCAACCAACCAACCAAAACACAAAGAAAAACGUGAGGAACAACAUUAAAGGAGAGGAAAAACGAAAAUCUAAAGUCACUCAAACCCAACAAUCACCAUGGAAAUGCAAAGAAAAGCUUAAAAGCUCAAGUUUCAAACAUCAAAAACAAGCAAAUGGAAGAAGGAAUGGAUGGAUUAUCACCACCAAUGAGUUAAGACAGCCAAGAGUGAGUCAAGGGAAGAAGAAAAUCUGCAUAACAUUCAUUGAAAAGGGUCCAAAACCGUGGCACCAAGCAAGCAUCCAUGAGAGCAUGUUCAAACAAGAGAAACCCUAGGAGAAUGAAACCAAAAAUAUGAAAGAUGGAAGUGUUGUUGUGUGGCUCGAUUUUCUCCUCUAUUUGGAGCAAGAGUUUUAAGUUUUGGUGGGGUACACACACUACAAGUCAGCCCUAAAGGGAUGCCACAUGGCCCCGACAAUUGAUUUUUACAAAAAUGCCCCUAAAGGGGUCUAAAACACCUAAUUCUAAUUAAGGGCUUCUAGAAAACGAAAUUACAACUUAAUUAAAUAGGAAAUGACUAAAUGUUGAGUCUUGAAUGAUCACGCCACCUUCCCUAAUGCUCCAAAUGAUGUUUCCCAAAAUUUCCCUGCAACCAAAAUACACUUAAUCAGCUCAGAAAACCCAAAUUAGCACAAUUACGAAUUUCUGACCAAAUUAAGAAGAAUUCAGAAAACGAGGAAAUAACAGACAAUUAAACACAAUUCCCUGGUUUAAUUAAGUGCAAUAAACUAAAUAUAGUUCAUGAAAUAACCACUCAUCACAGACUCUCUAGCUAUUCUGCACUCUAAUGGGGAUA
Molecule: long non-coding RNA, 1322 nt
Filed under: Vigna radiata
Lineage: Eukaryota; Viridiplantae; Streptophyta; Magnoliopsida; Fabales; Fabaceae
Description: long non-coding RNA (VRAD_LNC006078)
Source: RNAcentral